GGAAUAUUGGACAAUGGGGGCAACCCUGAUCCAGCGAUGCCGCGUGUGUGAAGAAGGCCUGAGGGUUGUAAAGCACUUUAGCUGGGGAGGAAGAGCCUAUAUAUGAAUAAGAUAUAGGAAUGACGUUACCCAAAGAAUAAGCACCGGCUAACUCUGUGCCAGCAGCCGCGGUAAUACAGAGGGUGCAAGCGUUAAUCGGAAUGACUGGGCGUAAAGAGUACGUAGGCGGAUAGAUGUGUCAAAGGUGAAAUCCCCGGGCUUAACCUGGGAACUGCCUGUGAAACUAUCUGACUAGAAUAUAGGAGAGGGAAGUGGAAUUUCCGGUGUAGCGGUGAAAUGCGUAGAUAUCGGAAAGAACACCGGUGGCGAAGGCGACUUCCUGGCCUAAUAUUGACGCUGAGGUACGAAAGCGUGGGGAGCAAAC
RNAcentral lists this ribosomal RNA (424 nucleotides) under uncultured bacterium. RNAcentral describes it as "bacterial SSU rRNA". It matches the Rfam family "Bacterial small subunit ribosomal RNA", at positions 358 to 773 of the family's 1533-position model. The record is from RNAcentral.